AGAGUUUGAUCCUGGCUCAGGAUGAACGCUGGCGGCGUGCUUAACACAUGCAAGUCGAGCGAGAAGGUUAUGACUGAUUCUUCGGAUGAAGGAUUAACUGGAAAGCGGCGGACGGGUGAGUAACGCGUGGGUAACCUGCCUUGUACAGAGGGAUAGCCACUGGAAACGGUGAUUAAUACCUCAUAAAGCUAAACCAUCGCAUGGUGGAUUAGCCAAAACUCAGGUGGUACAAGAUGGACCCGCGUCUGAUUAGCUAGUUGGUGGGGUAAAGGCCUACCAAGGCGACGAUCAGUAGCCGACCUGAGAGGGUGAUCGGCCACACUGGAGCUGAGACACGGUCCAGACUCCUACGGGAGGCAGCAGUGGGGAAUAUUGCACAAUGGGCGAAAGCCUGAUGCAGCAACGCCGCGUGAGCGAAGAAGGCCUUCGGGUCGUAAAGCUCUGUCCUAAGGGAAGAAUAAUGACGGUACCUUAGGAGGAAGCCCCGGCUAACUACGUGCCAGCAGCCGCGGUAAUACGUAGGGGGCGAGCGUUAUCCGGAAUCACUGGGCGUAAAGGGUGCGUAGGCGGCCAAAUAAGCCAGGGGUGAAAGGCUACGGCUCAACCGUAGUAAGCCUUUGGAACUGUAUGGCUUGAGUGCAGGAGAGGAGAGUGGAAUUCCUAGUGUAGCGGUGAAAUGCGUAGAUAUUAGGAGGAACACCAGUGGCGAAGGCGACUCUCUGGACUGCAACUGACGCUGAGGCACGAAAGCGUGGGGAGCGAACAGGAUUAGAUACCCUGGUAGUCCACGCCGUAAACGAUGAGUGCUAGGUGUUGGGGGCGACAGUCCUCAGUGCCGCAGCUAACGCAUUAAGCACUCCGCCUGGGGAGUACGGUCGCAAGACUGAAACUCAAA
Molecule: ribosomal RNA, 895 nt
Filed under: uncultured Bacillota bacterium
Lineage: Bacteria; Bacillati; Bacillota
Description: bacterial SSU rRNA
Rfam family: Bacterial small subunit ribosomal RNA
Source: RNAcentral